CCCUUAGAUGUCCUGGGCCGCACGCGCGCUACACUGAGUGUCUGAGAUACGAGUCUGCCUGGUCCGGCAAGGUCUAGGUAAUCGCUAAAAGACACAUCAUGCUUGGGAUAGAUUAUUGCAAAUAUUAAUCUUGAACGAGGAAUACCUAGUAAGCGCAAGUCAACAGCUUGCGUUGAUUACGUCCCUGCCCUUUGUACACACCGCCCGUCGCUACUACUGAUUGGAUGUUUAAGCGAGGUUCUCGAACUGCUAGCGACUUAGCUUCGGUGAGGUCGCAGUGUGGGAAGUGAACCUAGCUUUGGUGUCUAGAGGAAGUAAAAGUCGUAACA
RNAcentral lists this ribosomal RNA (329 nucleotides) under uncultured eukaryote. RNAcentral describes it as "partial 18S ribosomal RNA". It matches the Rfam family "Eukaryotic small subunit ribosomal RNA", at positions 1470 to 1796 of the family's 1831-position model. The record is from RNAcentral.